Molecule: ribosomal RNA, 426 nt
Filed under: uncultured Pseudomonadota bacterium
Lineage: Bacteria; Pseudomonadati; Pseudomonadota
Description: bacterial SSU rRNA
Rfam family: Bacterial small subunit ribosomal RNA
Source: RNAcentral
GGGGAAUAUUGCGCAAUGGACGAAAGCCUGACGCAGCGACGCCGCGUGAGGGAUGAAGGUUCUCGGAUCGUAAACCUCUGUCAGAAGGGAAGAAACCGCACCGUGCUAAUCAGCGGUGCAUUGACGGUACCUUCAAAGGAAGCACCGGCUAACUCCGUGCCAGCAGCCGCGGUAAUACGGAGGGUGCAAGCGUUAAUCGGAAUUACUGGGCGUAAAGCGCACGUAGGCUGCUUUGUAAGUCAGGGGUGAAAUCCCACGGCUCAACCGUGGAACUGCCUUUGAUACUGGGUGUCUUGAGUACGAGAGAGGUGAGUGGAAUUCCGAGUGUAGAGGUGAAAUUCGUAGAUAUUCGGAAGAACACCAGUGGCGAAGGCGGCUCACUGGCUCGUAACUGACGCUGAGGUGCGAAAGCGUGGGGAGCAAACA